This 466-nucleotide ribosomal RNA is filed under the name uncultured Acidovorax sp. Its description in RNAcentral is "bacterial SSU rRNA". It matches the Rfam family "Bacterial small subunit ribosomal RNA", at positions 337 to 795 of the family's 1533-position model. Lineage: Bacteria; Pseudomonadati; Pseudomonadota; Betaproteobacteria; Burkholderiales; Comamonadaceae. The record is from RNAcentral.
UCCUACGGGUGGCUGCAGUGGGGAAUUUUGGACAAUGGGCGCAAGCCUGAUCCAGCCAUGCCGCGUGCAGGAUGAAGGCCUUCGGGUUGUAAACUGCUUUUGUACGGAACGAAAAGACUCCUUCUAAUAAAGGGGGUUCAUGACGGUACCGUAAGAAUAAGCACCGGCUAACUACGUGCCAGCAGCCGCGGUAAUACGUAGGGUGCGAGCGUUAAUCGGAAUUACUGGGCGUAAAGCGUGCGCAGGCGGUGAUGUAAGACAGAUGUGAAAUCCCCGGGCUCAACCUGGGAACUGCAUUUGUGACUGCAUCGCUGGAGUGCGGCAGAGGGGGAUGGAAUUCCGCGUGUAGCAGUGAAAUGCGUAGAUAUGCGGAGGAACACCGAUGGCGAAGGCAAUCCCCUGGGCCUGCACUGACGCUCAUGCACGAAAGCGUGGGGAGCAAACAGGAUUAGAUACCCGUGUAGUC